GAUGAACGCUGGCGGCGUGCCUAAUACAUGCAAGUCGAGCGGACAGACCCGGCGCUUGUGCCUCUGACGUUAGCGGCACACGUGUGUGUAACGCGUGUAUCACCUCCCUGUCAUUCGGGGAUCACCUCGAAACUCCGGCGCUAAUCCCAUAUAAUAUCUUGCACCGCAUUGUUCAAUGGUGAAUUUCGGCUUUGCUGUCACUACUCGCUGCAUCCGCGCCGCAUGAGCUAGUUGGUAAGGUCACGGCUUACGAAGGCUACGAUGCGUAGACGAACUGACAGGGUGAUAGGCCACACUGGAACUGAGCCACGCACCAGACGCCUACGGGAGGGAGCAGUAGGGAAUCUGCCGCAAUGGGCGAAAGCCUGACGGAGCAACGCCGCGUGAGUGAUGAAGGUGUUCGGAUCGUAAAGACCUGUUAUUAGGGAAGAACAAAUGUGUAAGUAAAUAUGCACGUCUUGACGGUACCUAAUCAGAAAGCCACGGCUAACUACGUG
This 497-nucleotide ribosomal RNA is filed under the name uncultured bacterium. RNAcentral describes it as "partial 16S ribosomal RNA". It matches the Rfam family "Bacterial small subunit ribosomal RNA", at positions 28 to 507 of the family's 1533-position model. The record is from RNAcentral.